CGUUCUAAAGGAUAGCCUGGAACAGCGGAUCCUGAAAACUCCACCUCCCCAGUGUCAGAGUCACAAGCAUGAUCCACCACGAUAGAUUCCACUGGCCAUACGGUUUAUACACAGAGGGAAAGUUGAGCAGAGAUGAGGCCUACAGUUUGAGAGUGGAGAGGUGAGCGGCAAGCUUCCUGCUUAAAAGAGGGGUGAACUGACCCAGCUCCUCCCUCCUUUUCUCAAGUGUCUUCUGCAGCAAUGUGGCUGGACUUACAUGAAGAAUUAAGGGGUGAAAAGUCUAUGCCCAUCUCACUCUGCUGCUUUCAAUACUGCCAUAGUAGAAGUUCAUGUUGGAAUCAUAAAGAAUUGGACAGAAAGGAUAUGACAAGAUUGUCACACGACUCUAUAUCAUCAUAAGGAUGAUGACUCUGACAUGUGGAGCUGGGUGUCACUAAAAAGCAGACACUGACUAAAAAUAGUUGCUGUGGUCAGUCAUGUGAGACCACAAAGCGGAAGAAGUCUAAUCUUGAUCCACAUGUGUGUUAUAUUUUAAAGAAAUGUCCUAGUGCCCAUUUAUUUACAGCAACAAGUUU
Molecule: long non-coding RNA, 575 nt
Organism: Mus musculus (house mouse)
Lineage: Eukaryota; Metazoa; Chordata; Mammalia; Rodentia; Muridae
Product: predicted gene, 35415
Exons: 3
Source: RefSeq, a predicted model, not a curated record